This is a long non-coding RNA of Acanthochromis polyacanthus (spiny chromis), 3451 nucleotides long. RefSeq lists it as uncharacterized. The record is from RefSeq and is a predicted model, not a curated record. NCBI's taxonomy places the organism in Eukaryota, Metazoa, Chordata, Actinopteri, Pomacentridae. The transcript is spliced from 2 exons.
AUAUGUAUAGGAAGGAGGACAAGAAGACUUUGACAGUAGACAGAUGAACUUUCUUGAUCAAACACAGAGAAAUUCAACUCGGAGAAAGAAAGAAGAUAUGUCACCAUUAUUACAGAGCACAAACAAAUCCAAUAAAAAUUGACAGCGGCUGUGCCAAAGCACUUUGUCGUUGAAAAGUGAAAAAAUGAUAGAUGUUACAAAUUAACAUACCAAAUCUGAAUAUUCACCCCAACAAUGUUUUAAUGGUGUGAUUUUACAAGCGUAAAUGUAAUAUUAGGUAAUAAACUCCUCUAGAAAUUAAAGUAACUAGAAAAACACUCAGAGAGUACAGCACUCCGCCAAGGCUGCUCAGUUGUAUCAUUUCCGAUGGCUGAAAUAUUUAACAAAUCUGUGGAUCCAGACAUUAAGCCGGAUCAGUGCCAAAAUCUUGGUCCUUGUGUCAUUUCUGAUCUUUCCUGAAAAUUUCAUCCAAAUCCGUUUUUGAGUAAUGUAGACAGACAGACAGAUAGACGCCGAUUGUCACAUAACUUCUUGGCAGAGUAAAUAUGGAGCAUUACCAACUUAAUUUCCAAAAAGGCUCAGAACCAACAGUGUUAUUAAUUAUGGAGAAUAAACUGACUCAUUUACAGCUAAAGUUGUGAUCUUGCAAAAAUAUGCAUGCAAACAUAAAACCAAGGAUUUCUUGAAUUCCUUGUAAACAAGCUAUCUCUUUAUUUUAGUUUUUCUGCUUUGUGUUUUUGUUUAAAAUUUAUCCUAUUUUGUUUUAUUUUCAGAGCCAGAAGAAAUGUAGAUGACAUUCACAUCAGCUAUAUAUGAGGAAACCUCAAAUCAUUGCAGAGACAUAAAAAGGUCCAUGCAGGUGGUGAACCUCUGGGACACAAGCAUGCCUUACAUACAUAGCGUAUCAAAGUUUGAUCUCAAAACUUUAUUGAAAUAAAUGUUAACCAGCAUGGUAAACAGACCCUUAAAAUCCAUAAAUUUCAUAAAAUGCCCUUUAUUUGGUAAUUUAAUAAUCAAGAUUUACAUGAAAAUUUUUCACAAAUCCAUAUAAAAAUAUAAAUAAUAUCAGUCACUCACAGCAGCAUAUGCCCUCACCUCCAAAAAUAUUGGAACAGUGAGGCCAGUUCCAUUAUAUUUGCUGUAGACUGAAAACAUUUGGGUUUGACAUCAAAUGAUGAAUAUGAGAUAAGAGAUCAACAUUUCAGCUUUUGUUUACAGGUAUACAUCUGGAUCUGAUACACAACUUAGAAGAUAGCAUUAUUUGUAACAGAGCACCAAAUUUUUAGGCUUUCACUGCGACCUCUUUCAGUUGUUGUUUGUUUUGAGGGGUUACUCAAUUCUGUCAGGGUCCUCUCCUCACCCUAUUCCUGCCUAGCAUCCCAAAUACCCCAUCCUAUCCAUCUCCCUCCUUUUUCUCUCCCUCUCUUGCUCGCCUCUCCCUCUGCUCUCUCCUCAGUGCUGCACCUGAGUGGAGUGUGGCUUCACAGCUGCCUUCACUCAGGUGAUUACCCACCUCUCCCAGGAUCCAGGCAGCUGUGGCUCGUCAGCUGAUUACACACAACCUGCAAUAAAAGAACAGCUCAUCCUCCCACAGUCUGUCAGAUUGUUAAACUAGAUGCUACUGUCAGUUGCUCGCUAGCCACACUGGUUCUCUCUGCGGUUUCAGAGAUAAGCCAUACUUGCAUGCUUUUCUGUUCUCUUCUCCACGAGAAGACCCAGCUGCCUGGAACCCCGCCUGAUCUGCCUGUCUCCCCGAAAUCCCUCCGAACCCCUCCUGGACUCCGUCGGCACCAAGCUUUUCCCCUUGUGCUUUGUGUCAUCUAGCCGCACGAUGAAGGAUCUACCUGUCACUUUGGUUCUAUCUUUCUUUAAACUGGCAGACAAAAUGUUUCGGUAGACUUCUGAGUUUAUUUUGCUGCUGUCAUCAUGUGUUCCAUUUAUCAAUGAAGAUUAAUGAGCCUGUCUCAUUCUAGCCUGGCCUUCCUAUUCUUCUUGCUAAUGAGUGGCUUGCAUCUUCUGGUGUAGCCUCUAUACAUUUGUUCAUGAAGUCUGCUGUGAACAGUAGAUUGUGAUACCUUUACACCUGCUCUCUGGAGAUUGUUGCUGAUGUCACUAACAGUUUUUUUAGGGUAUUUCUUUACAGCUCCCACAAUUGGUCUACCCAUUCCAUGUUUGUUACUUAUUACACCAGUGUUUUUUUUCUUCUUCAGGACAUUCCAAAUGGUUGUACUGGCUAUGGCCAAUUUUUGUGCAAUGGUUUGAUGGUUUUGAUUGAUUUUUCAUCUUCUCUCAGCUUCACAAUUGCUUGCUUUUCACCCAUAGACAGCUCUCUAGUUUUCAUGUUGGUUACACUUCAUACAAUAGAUGCAGUCUGCACAGGCAAAAUCCAAAUACAUGCAGACUGAAACAUGCCACUGCUUCUCAAUAGCCCAACACACACUUGAGUUGAAAUCUUAACAUUUCAGAGAAGCUCUACUUAAAGUGGACCACCACACCUUACUGGAUGCAGUAUAUUUCUUUUUUUUCUUCUUCUUCUUCUUCUUUUUUUUUAAACAUGGUGACUAUAAACUAAAGCUGAGUUUAAAAACCUGGCAAGACCCUAAGGAUCUGUAUCCGUCUGGGAAUGUUCCAUGUGUAAUGUUUUAACUGGUUUAUGGUUAUUUGUUUAUGAAUAUGCAGCAUUAAUAAACAGUAUCAGUGGACACGAGAUCUUGUGUUAAAGUGUGUAUGCUGCCAAAGUCUAGUUUUAUACACAUUUGAGAUCAAUGUGAACGUAUCAGAAAUAAGCACAUUGUACUCCAGCAUGGGAAAACUACACAUUUGAAAAAGUUAGAGUGGGGAGUUACCAUUGAGCAUGUUUACCCUUGAUUAUCUAACCAUGGCAUUACCUCUGGUGCAAAACUAAAAUUAAACUGUGCUUCCAUGUGGACAAUUUUACAGUAAUUGUUUUUCGUUUGGGGGUGCACAGUAGCUUAGUGGUUAGCACUGUCGCAUCACAGCUCGAAGAACCGGCCUUCCCAGGUUCUUUUUGCAUGGAGUUUGCAUGUUCUCCCUGUGCAUGCGUGGGUUUUCUCCAGGUUGUCCAGCUUCCACCCAUAGUCCAAAACAUGCUGAGGUUAAUUGGUGAUUCUAAAUUGUCUGUAGGUAUGAAUAGGAGUAUGAUUGUUUGUCUCUAUGUGUAACCCUGUGAUGGACUGGUGACAUGUCCAGGGCCUGCCUUCAGCCCAAGCCAGCUGGGAUAGACUCCAGCCCUCCCAUGACCCUAAUGAGGAUUAAGCCGUGUAUAGAUAAUGGAUGGAUGGAUGUUUGUAGUGUAGACCAGGGCCACUGGUUUGCUAUCUGGGGGUGUCAGUGUUGCAAUAUUUUGUUUUGUUUUUUUUGUUGUCAAUUACAGUAACAAAAUGACUGGGACAUCUAUAAUCUAUGUCAAUAAAAAUAUAAUAAUGUUGAA